AGUGAACGCUGGCGGCAGGCCUAACACAUGCAAGUCGAACGAACCUUUCGGGGUUAGUGGCGGACGGGUGAGUAACACGUGGGAACGUGCCUUUAGGUUCGGAAUAACUCAGGGAAACUUGUGCUAAUACCGAAUGUGCCCUUCGGGGGAAAGAUUAAUCGCCUUUAGAGCGGCCCGCGUCUGAUUAGCUAGUUGGUUGAGGUAAUGGCUCACCAAGGCGACGAUCAGUAGCUGGUCUGAGAGGAUGAUCAGCCACAUUGGGACUGAGACACGGCCCAAAAUCCUACGGGAGGCAGCAGUGGGGAAUCUUGCGCAAUGGGCGAAAGCCUGACGCAGCCAUGCCGCGUGAAUGAUGAAGGUCUUAGGAUUGUAAAAUUCUUUCACCGGGGACGAUAAUGACGGUACCCGGAGAAGAAGCCCCGGCUAACUUCGUG
This 434-nucleotide ribosomal RNA is filed under the name uncultured bacterium. Its description in RNAcentral is "partial 16S ribosomal RNA". It matches the Rfam family "Bacterial small subunit ribosomal RNA", at positions 29 to 507 of the family's 1533-position model. The record is from RNAcentral.